This 398-nucleotide transfer-messenger RNA is filed under the name Flavobacteriaceae. Its description in RNAcentral is "Sediminicola_A luteus Standard tmRNA". It matches the Rfam family "transfer-messenger RNA". Rfam says of the family: Bacterial tmRNA, also known as 10Sa RNA or SsrA, is named for its dual tRNA and mRNA-like properties. Its role is to liberate the mRNA from a stalled ribosome. Lineage: Bacteria; Pseudomonadati; Bacteroidota; Flavobacteriia; Flavobacteriales. RNAcentral also lists the same sequence under 1 other name. The record is from RNAcentral.
GGGGCCGACCGGUUUUGACAGCGAGACCAGUUGGAGUGUAAGCAUGUCGAGCGUUGGGAUGUUGCUCGUUAAUCUGAUGUUCCAAACCUUUAAAUGGCGAAAAUAAUUACGCUCUUGCCGCUUAAUCUGAAUCAUAGUAAGAUAAGCCUCGUCUCUAUAAGAUAGAGAAGCGAGAUGUUCCUGAACAGCCCUUGUUGACGGCGGUUCGUAAAGGAGCACCAUAAAAGUCAACAUAGAAACCGUAGGAUCCCGAUACGGUUUUAAAGCUUAAUCGGGAAUAAGGUUAUGGUGGGCGGUCUUUGGUCAGCCAUAGCUCGAAAACCAAUCAGAGACUAAACAUGUAGAAAGCCCUUUAGCUUCUUGUUUGGACGAGGGUUCGAAUCCCUCCGGCUCCACCA